This 491-nucleotide ribosomal RNA is filed under the name uncultured bacterium. Its description in RNAcentral is "partial 16S ribosomal RNA". It matches the Rfam family "Bacterial small subunit ribosomal RNA", at positions 29 to 506 of the family's 1533-position model. The record is from RNAcentral.
AGUGAACGCUGGCGGUAGGCCUUACACAUGCAAGUCGAACGGCAGCACAGUAAGAGCUUGCUCUUACGGGUGGCGAGUGGCGGACGGGUGAGGAAUACAUCCGAAUCUACUUUUUCGUGGGGGAUAACGUAGGGAAACUUACGCUACUACCGCAUACGACAUACGGGUGAAAGCAGGGGAUCUUCGGACCUUGCGCGACUGAAUGAGCCGAUGUCGGAUUAGCUAGUUGGCGGGGUAAAGGCCCACCAACGCGACGAUCCUUAGCUGGUCUGAGAGGAUGAUCGGCCACACUGGAACUGAGACACGGUCCAGACUCCUACGGGGGGCAGCAGUGGGGAAUAUUGAACAAUGGGGGCAAGCCUGAUCCAGCAAUACCGCGUGGGUGAAGAAGGCCUUCGGGUUGUAAAGCCCUUUUGUUGGGAAAGAAAGGCAGCAGGUUAAUACCCCGCUGUUCUGACGGAACCCAAAGAAUAAGCACCGGCUAACUUCGU